AGCGCAGGCGGGAAGACAAGUUGGAAGUGAAAUCUAUGGGCUCAACCCAUAAACUGCUUUCAAAACUGUUUUUCUUGAGUAGUGCAGAGGUAGGCGGAAUCCCGGUGUAGCGGUGGAAUGCGUAGAUAUCGGGAGGAACACCAGUGGCGAAGGCGGCCUACUGGGCACCAACUGACGCUGAGGCUCGAAAGUGUGGGUAGCAAACA
RNAcentral lists this ribosomal RNA (206 nucleotides) under uncultured bacterium. Its description in RNAcentral is "partial 16S ribosomal RNA". It matches the Rfam family "Bacterial small subunit ribosomal RNA", at positions 568 to 774 of the family's 1533-position model. The record is from RNAcentral.